UUCGCAGAAACACGCAAAGAGCCGAGCAACAGCACACAGGGACCAAGUUCUCACACUUUCCGCUAAUGCAUCCACGGAGUUAAUUUAAAAAAGAAGCUACAAGUAUACCCGUACAUACGCACGUAUGCGCCGUGCAGCCGUAGGCGCCCGACGCGCCGAGCAGAAAUUCGCCAUUAUCCGCGUCUCCUCCUAUCGUCCGCGGGAAAUGACUCCCGCAACAGCAGCCCUGCGAACGGAAACCUUUAUCGGGAGCUCGGAUCGCCGCCGAGUUCCGGGCCCGAUUGGAAAAGUUUCGACGAUGCCUGCAUAGCUGAUCGACGCGAGCGCGCGAGAGGAAAAGGCGCUUGUGCAUCGAUAGAGGAGAGAAGCGAGGUUAGAGGCGCCACCACCGCAUCGCCGCCGAUGAUGCGUCCGACGCCGCCGCCGCGAUGCUGUCGAGCCUUUGAUCGAGUUAGCGUUCGCGAUUCACAUAAGUAAGCUGCUGAGACGAAUAUUUUCUCGCGAGAAUCGUGUGCAGAGGGGACGACGCGAUAGCUCGACUCUAUUUCAGUAAACGCAAAAUCUUACCUGAUGGCCGCCAUUGUUGCUGACCGCGGGGACGAACGCCGAAACGACCGUUGAUGAUCAUCCAGAUCUCCAGGGCUCCAGCCAGUCAUCCUCGCACUCGAUGAAAGGUAAGCUACUGACAAACUCUUUGACUAACACAACAGCGAGCGCUGAGUUCAAGAAAAACACGAACUCGACACCGCGUCCCCGACGUUCCCGCAUCGACGCGGCG
Molecule: long non-coding RNA, 778 nt
Organism: Nasonia vitripennis (jewel wasp)
Lineage: Eukaryota; Metazoa; Arthropoda; Insecta; Hymenoptera; Pteromalidae
Exons: 3
Source: RefSeq, a predicted model, not a curated record